This 539-nucleotide ribosomal RNA is filed under the name uncultured bacterium. Its description in RNAcentral is "bacterial SSU rRNA". It matches the Rfam family "Bacterial small subunit ribosomal RNA", at positions 28 to 526 of the family's 1533-position model. The record is from RNAcentral.
AAUGAACGUUGGCGGCGUGGAUUAGGCAUGCAAGUCGAGCGGUAGGAGUUCACUCACCCGGCGCACAUAGCCCCGCCCUCCGGGCUGGGGAUUGUGUGUUCCAGGUGAGUGGACUCUGAGAGCGGCGAAAGGGAGAGUAACGCGUAGUUACGUACCCCGAGGACCGGAAUAGCCACGGGAAACUGUGGGUAAUGCCGGAUAAUGUCUUCGGACCAAAGGUGUGAUUCCACCUUGGGAGCGGACUGCGUUGUACUAGCUUGUUGGUAGGGUAAUGGCCUACCAAGGCUAUGAUGCAUAGCGGGUGUGAGAGCAUGACCCGUCUCACUGGGACUGAGACACUGCCCAGACACCUACGGGUGGCUGCAGUCGAGAAUCUUCGGCAAUGAGCGCAAGCUUGACCGAGCGACGCCGCGUGCGGGAUGAAGGCCUUCGGGUUGUAAACCGCGAAAGUAGGGAGGAAGUCGGUGGGGGUUCUCCCCCAUUGUUGACCGAUCUACAGUAAGGACGGGCUAAGUACGUGCCAGCCGCCGCCGUAACAC